CAUCAGCACAUGAAAGGAGAGGU
This 23-nucleotide non-coding RNA is filed under the name Arabidopsis thaliana (thale cress). The record is from RNAcentral. Lineage: Eukaryota; Viridiplantae; Streptophyta; Magnoliopsida; Brassicales; Brassicaceae.